CAAGCUGGGAUUUUAAAAUGUGAAGUCGUGGGAAAUUCUUGACACAUCCUAGAAUUUUUUUCAGUAAAUAUUGCGAGGUACUCGGUUCCAGUUUUUUGCAUUGAAAUGACGACAAUAAUUUUUUGUCACUCGAUUAUUUUCUUUCUCGGGAUACUUGAAGUCACUAGUGACCUAGAAUACAAAUUCGUGAAUGUGAUUUUUCGCCAUGGAGAUCGAACUCCGACGAAUAAACCUUACGAAUCAUUUCCAACAAGCCCAUAUGUAAAAUCGGAUUUUUCUCCUUACGGUCAUGGACAAUUGACAAACAAAGGAAAGCAAAGUGUUUAUGAACUGGGUAAAUACAUGCGCGAACGUCUUGACCAGUUUCUGGGGGAUCUAUAUGAUCCUAACGUGGUAUCCGCGCGUAGUACUCAUGCUGACAGAACGCAAAUGUCUCUUCAAAUGGCGAUGGCGGGUAUGUUUCCCCCUGGUCCUUACCAAAAAUGGAAUUCAAAACUAAAUUGGCAGCCAGUGGUGAUGAAUGUUCCACCACCUGACGACGACUUCUUGCUUUUCCACAAACACCCGGAGUUCAAAGAACAGCGCGCUAGUGUCCUCAAAGAUUCGAAGCUUCGGGCAGAAAUUGAAACAUUAAGUGAUUUUGCGAAAAAUCUGAGCGACUGGAUCGGUACUCCCGUCACGGAUACUAAACAGUACAACUUUAUUUAUCAUGGUUUAGCGUCACUAGAGUCCAUGGAUUGUUCUCUUCCUUCAUGGGCUACAGGGAUUUAUCCAAGAGGUCUAUUACUAGAUGCUGUCGAUCAAGAAUAUAAAGUGCUAAAUUACAACUGGAAAAUGAGGUGCCUCAGUGGAGGAAGGCUUUUAAAGAAAUUUACAGAUAACAUGUUAAUUGCUGCGAGUGGAGAUAGCCAAUCAAAAUUGAAGAUGGAAUUACUAGCCGCCCACGACAUAAAUAUCGUUUCGUUGUUGAAAAUACUUAACCUCUACGAACCUCAGGUUCCAGAAUAUGCCAGCGCCAUUUUUGUUGAAUUACUGGCGGAUGGCGAUAAAUAUUUUGUCAACAUUCAUUAUUACCUGGGGAACCCUUCGGCGACAGAAUCCCUAAGAAUCCCCGGAUGUGAAGAACUAUGUCCUCUGGAAAAGUUUGUGGAACUAUUUGGCAGUUCCAUGCCAACGGCUGAGAAUAGCUGUUGACCAGGAUGGCUUCCACUCAAAAAUAUUUUCUAUUACUAGGAUUCAUGUAGUCAAUUAGAUGUCUCGAAACGGAGACCCGUGUACAGAUCGAUAUCGAUAUUUCUCAAAGAAAUAUCUCGAAAAUGCGUAAGCGUAAGACAGAAACCGAAGCGACAUCUGUCGAUUAUAUAAGUCGCACAUUGGACGGGAACAAAUGAACUGGAACAAAUGAACCGGUAAAAACCAUCACAUUUGGCAACGUGUUUGAGUGUUUUUAUCCUAUUAUAAAAAGGAGAUAAUUUAUAAUCGUGAAACAUCAUGACAUCUCCACCUAUUAAAUAUACGACCAACAGAGCCAUUGAUCAUUUCAAUAUUGGAGCUACACUCAUGAAAAUCAUCGGCUACGUCGACUGCAUUGAAGGCCUGAGGGAGCUGCCAAAAUCUCCAUCUAAGUGGAUUUACAAGUGCAUUUUAAUUGGAUGAUCAAACUAACUUACCUGUAAGUGACGUUCGAUCCUAAUUAUAUGAAGUCCUCGCUCGAGUACAUUACAACUGUAGUAUGCCUUCGGUCGGCAAGGCAGCACACGCGACUUUAGAGUUCAAUAGAAAGAGAACACGAGAGGUGACCCCCACCUCUCCCCAUCCUCGCGCGGAGACCUCAAUUUUAGAGCCCCACCAUACACACAACUUAAAGGGGAGGGAAAAACAAAAAAUCGUUUUUGGCCUCUAGGUGGGACUAAUGUACUCGAGCGAGGACUUCAUAUAAUUACGAUCGAACAUCACUUACAGGUAAGUUAGUUUGAUCAUCCAAUUAUAUUUCGUCCACGCUCUCCUACAUUACAACUGUAGUUGUUUAGAGAUUUGAAAAUAAUCAAUUCCCUCUUUGGUUUUUCUUUUUCUCUUUUUUUUUAUUCCAGUACCGAUAAAGAAAAGUUUGAAGUAUUUGUAUUGAUAGGCCUUUGGUAAAAACGGGCAAACGUCUGAGAGUCAGCAGACCAGCCUGCAGUUCUGCGAAUGGUAUCGAAAUCAACACCUUUUUCGGCAGAUCUUGACGUAGAAGCAUGCCGUGUGGAAUGAGCAGAAAAAUAGUGGUAUCAAUUCCACCUAAAAACAAACAUUUCUUCACCCAUCUACUAAUGAAUACACACAUAACAAUGGUUUUUCGUUAAACUUUGGUAAUCGAAAACAUGGCUGAUUACGUCCUGGUCCUGAAGUUUUUAAAACAUCAGGGAUCCUUAUCUCAAUACCGUCAGGUGAUUCUUUUAUAAGAUCGAUUCUGAUCUUUGAGAGAGCUUGCGCUCUUUGAGCGGUACGUAAGGCUAAAAGCAUUACAGUCUUAUAUGUUAGAUCUCUUAAAGUACAUAUAUUUAAGGAUUCCAAGAAACGGAGGACAGUUGCCACGUCCCAUGUAGAGGAAUAUUUGGGUCUGCAUGGUCUCAUCUUGUAUACCCCCUUUAAACGGCAAAUGAUUGCGUUUUCCCCAAUCUUCUUCUUAGACAAUAAUGAAAUUGCACUACGGCAAGAAUUGAGCGUACCAUAAGACGCCCCCGCUUUGUAUCUCUCAUAUAAGAAUUCUAGGACUACCUUAACAUUUAUAUCUAAACAGUCUCUGUUCUUCCGUCUACAAAACUCAUCCCAUUGCUUUAGAGCACUACCAUAUUGUUUGAAUGUAGAUUUACUUAAUGAAGCUAGAUCAAUGUCUAAGGCUUCAAUGGGAACUUUCCUUGCUAGAAAGGCCUCCCGGAUAUUCUGCUCGCAAUUAAACCCAGAUGGUCUGCUCUGGGAUGUGAUAAUUUCCUGCAUGGAGAAAGGAGUAGUCUUGAAUUAGGUUUGAAAAAUAGAGGCUUGCCUACUAUUAAUUUUUCGAAAAGCGGAAACCAAGGUUGAUUUUUCUACAGAGGAACCACUAAGAUACCCUCUGCUUUUUCCCGUUUAAUUUUUGCUAAGGCUUUCAAAAUUAAUGAAAAGGGGGGAAAAGCGUAAACAUCCCAUUUAUCCCAGGUGAUGGUGAAGGCAUCAACAUACAGGGAUCUACCCUCUGGUUUCCAUGAGAUGAAUCUUGUACAUUUCGUAUUUAAUUCGGAUGCGAAAAGGUCAAUCUCAGGAACGCCAAAAUUCCUAAUGAUUUCCUUGUAAUAAAUUUCGUUCAGUUCCCAUUCCGUAUCAAUAUUCUUAAUUCUUGAUAAGCUAUCAGCAAUAAUGUUUUCUUUAGAUGGAAUAUAAGAAGCAAUCAGAAUUAUCUUCCUAAGCUCUGCCCAUUGCCAAAUUUCACGAGCCAAUUUAUUAUAUCUCUGGAAUCUGGUACCACCCAUUUUAUUUAUGUAUGCAAUGGCCGUGGUGUUAUCUAUUCGCAAUAGAAUUUUACAGUCUUCAAACCCUGAA
RNA transcript from Diachasmimorpha longicaudata, 3555 nucleotides. It is a transcript of the gene named venom acid phosphatase Acph-1-like, with no coding region annotated. The record is from RefSeq and is a predicted model, not a curated record. The transcript is spliced from 9 exons. NCBI's taxonomy places the organism in Eukaryota, Metazoa, Arthropoda, Insecta, Hymenoptera, Braconidae.